RNAcentral lists this ribosomal RNA (446 nucleotides) under Bifidobacterium thermacidophilum. RNAcentral describes it as "bacterial SSU rRNA". It matches the Rfam family "Bacterial small subunit ribosomal RNA", at positions 28 to 482 of the family's 1533-position model. Lineage: Bacteria; Bacillati; Actinomycetota; Actinomycetes; Bifidobacteriales; Bifidobacteriaceae. The record is from RNAcentral.
GAUGAACGCUGGCGGCGUGCUUAACACAUGCAAGUCGAACGGGAUCCUGCAAGCUUGCUUGCGGGUGAGAGUGGCGAACGGGUGAGUAAUGCGUGACCAACCUGCCCCAUGCUCCGGAAUAGCUCCUGGAAACGGGUGGUAAUGCCGGAUGUGCCGGGCUCCUGCAUGGGGGUCCGGGAAAGCUCUUGCGGCGUGGGAUGGGGUCGCGUCCUAUCAGCUUGUUGGCGGGGUGAGGGCCCACCAAGGCUUCGACGGGUAGCCGGCCUGAGAGGGCGACCGGCCACAUUGGGACUGAGAUACGGCCCAGACUCCUACGGGAGGCAGCAGUGGGGAAUAUUGCACAAUGGGCGCAAGCCUGAUGCAGCGACGCCGCGUGCGGGAUGGAGGCCUUCGGGUUGUAAACCGCUUUUGUUUGGGAGCAAGCCCUUCGGGGUGAGUGUACCUUU